This 433-nucleotide long non-coding RNA is filed under the name Oryctolagus cuniculus (rabbit). RNAcentral's name for it is "lncRNA (ENSOCUG00000038427.1)". Lineage: Eukaryota; Metazoa; Chordata; Mammalia; Lagomorpha; Leporidae. The record is from RNAcentral.
GUUUAUCAAGAAGCAAAAUUAAACUAUGGUGGCUGCCUAUUGGAAAAUACGAUCCAGUUUUUAGAAAGAUUCAGUGACAGAAAUCAUCCAUCUCACUGAAGAUGGUGGAACAGAAUAGGGGAUACAUCUCAGUUAUCCGUGUUUCUGAAUAAUGAAAGGAAUGACUUUACUGCAUGUCAUAAGAUCUUCAAAUUAUUUUGCUAGAAAUCCCAUUUUAGUUUUAUUCAUAAAUAAGAAGUCUGUGCAUGCUUUGGAAUAUAUGGAGCAUUUAAAGCUGUGUAAUCCAGUGUCAUGGAAUAAUUAGCAAUUAUUAGUUCUGGAAGCAACUAUGGGGGAAGUAAUGAAAAAUGCUAUUACAAAGAAAUCAAGAAACUCCACAACAUCAAAACAAACAACCCACUUAAGAGAUGGGCCAAGGACCUCAAUAGACAUU